This 544-nucleotide ribosomal RNA is filed under the name uncultured bacterium. RNAcentral's name for it is "bacterial SSU rRNA". It matches the Rfam family "Bacterial small subunit ribosomal RNA", at positions 777 to 1319 of the family's 1533-position model. The record is from RNAcentral.
AAUAGAUACCCCGGUAGUCCACGCCGUAAACGAUGAGUGCUAAGUGUUAGGGGGUUUCCGCCCCUUAGUGCUGCAGCUAACGCAUUAAGCACUCCGCCUGGGGAGUACGGUCGCAAGACUGAAACUCAAAGGAAUUGACGGGGGCCCGCACAAGCGGUGGAGCAUGUGGUUUAAUUCGAAGCAACGCGAAGAACCUUACCAGGUCUUGACAUCCCGCUGACCGCUAUGGAGACAUAGUUUUCCCUUCGGGGACAGCGGUGACAGGUGGUGCAUGGUUGUCGUCAGCUCGUGUCGUGAGAUGUUGGGUUAAGUCCCGCAACGAGCGCAACCCUUGUUCUUAGUUGCCAUCAUUUAGUUGGGCACUCUAAGGAGACUGCCGGUGACAAACCGGAGGAAGGUGGGGAUGACGUCAAAUCAUCAUGCCCCUUAUGACCUGGGCUACACACGUGCUACAAUGGACGGUACAAACGGUCGCGAAGUCGCGAGACGGAGCCAAUCCGAUAAAACCGUUCUCAGUUCGGAUUGUAGGCCGCAACUCGCCUAC